This is a non-coding RNA of Musa acuminata subsp. malaccensis (wild Malaysian banana), 2103 nucleotides long. Lineage: Eukaryota; Viridiplantae; Streptophyta; Magnoliopsida; Zingiberales; Musaceae. The record is from RefSeq and is a predicted model, not a curated record.
UGUUAAAGCAUCAAUCGAGUUUGUGAGCGCAUCUCAAAGCGUGACGCCGCAGCUCUUAAACGACCUUCGACGCACCAAAUGACACCCCAUCGACAACAUGUGGCCGGCCGCAUCGCUCCUCCCCAACCCCCCGACUCCGCAACCCCGUCCCCGACUCUCCGGCGGGUUCCGACACCGCACCAGCGAACGCCGUCGAUGCUCUACGCUUACCGUGCUUUCCUCCUCCUCUUCCUCUUCCUCUAGCGACGCAAAGGAGGACCUGGUCACUGCCGCCGGGCGUCUCCUUUGGGGCCGCGGCCUCCCCCCUCAGGCCCUCGUCUCUGCCGUCCGAUCCGGAUGGUCUGCCGCGUGGCACCUAAUGAUGCGCCAACUCGCUCCCUCCUCCUCCGCCGCCGCCGCCUCCCCACCUGGCUCCUAUGCUCGUCCCACUUCCUCCUUUCCCUCGGUCCCCGCCUCGUACUGCCGGAACCCCACGAACCUCCACCUCUACGUCGCCCUCCCUUGCCCCUGGGCGCACCGCGUCCUCGUCGUCCGCGCGCUUAAGGGCCUCCGCUCCGCGCUCCCCGUUUCCAUCGCGGCCCCCGGCCUCGAUGGCUCCUGGCUGUUCCGCCCCCGUGGACCCUCCGCCGUCGGCGAAGAUCUGAGACCCGGGCCCGACCGCGCCAAUGCGCGGAGUACGCUGAGGGAGGUGUACGGGCUCCGGAGGGGCGGCUACGACGGGAGGUCGACGGUGCCAAUGCUUUGGGACGCGGAGAGGAAGGAAGUGGUGUGCAACGAGAGCUACGCGAUCAUCGAGUUCUUGAACUCCGCUGACUUCGGUGGUGAGGUCCAUGGUGGCUCAGGGUUGGACCUCUGCCCGUCGGAGCUCAAAAACGAGAUCGACGACUGGAAUCGGGUGAUCUAUCCCAACGUUAACAAUGGGGUUUAUAGAUGCGGGUUUGCGCAGAGCCAAGAAGCAUAUGACACUGCAGUCAAUGGAUUGUUCAACACAUUGGAUAUGAUAGAAUCUCAUCUGUCUACCUCUCGCUACUUGUGUGGGGAUGCACUGACUUUAGCUGAUGUCUGCCUAUUUACUACUUUGAUCCGUUUCGACCUUGUGUACAACGUCCUCUUCAAGUGCACAAAGAAGAAGCUACUUGAGUACCCCAAUCUUUAUGGCUAUACAUGUGAUAUGUAUCAGAUUCCAGAGGUUGUGAGUACGUGCAAUUUUGAGGCUAUCAUGGAUGGUUACUACUGUACUCUAUUUCCUCUGAAUCCUGGUGGGAUCCUGCCAGUCAUGCCUUCAGCUUGCAAUCAUGAUUUGCUUUCUAAACCGCAUAAUAGAGAAGCAUUAUCUUCGAGUGGCAAACAAAGCAUACAUGCUUCAGAAACCUAACAGUCAACUGCUUGUCUCAGAAAAACAAAUCAUUCAAAAUGUUCCAGCUGCUUUCCCAGCAUAGCAAGUACUGACAUAUUAAAGAAAACUAUGAUGCAGUGGCACUACUAAUGCAGGAAAAUCAUACAAAUGUGCAUUGUGUGGAAAGAGUAAGAAUUGGGGAGCUAUCUAAGAGGAUUCAGCUAUCUACUUAAAUGAGCAGCUAUGUAUUGCAAUUCCAAGGGUUAUUUACUACCCUGCAAGCAUUUUAACCUAGAUCAAAAGCGAGCAAAAAGUGCAGCCGUCUCUGUCUAUUAUGGCCAUGUUUGCAACUGAAUAUUUGAAGGCGUGCCUUUCAGAUUCGGAAGCAAGCUUAUGAAUGCUGAUCGAGGAAUUAUCUACGACAAAAGGCUUUUAGUGGUUCUGAGAGGCAUAAUUUGUCAAUCGUGUGAUAAAUGGUGAUAGCAAAAUGUCCCUCUAAACACAGUUCUCAGCAUAAGGAGAUCCAAAUUAACUUACAUUCAGAUUCAAAGUUGGCUAGCUACAAGGUACCGCAGGAAGAACGAUACUGGAAGAAGAUCUUGUUGGUUAUUGUUGUAAAAUAAAAUGUAACCAUGAUGACGGUGUUCUCAAAACAUUACUGUUGAUUUUGAGAAAUUCUAGUUAGUGAUUGUUAAUUUAUCUAUAUCUUCGUUCCCUCUUUUGUUGAUUUCUAGAAAUUCUAGAUAAUGAUUGUUAAUUUCUCUCUA